This is a non-coding RNA of Taeniopygia guttata (zebra finch), 2324 nucleotides long. The record is from RefSeq and is a predicted model, not a curated record. NCBI's taxonomy places the organism in Eukaryota, Metazoa, Chordata, Aves, Passeriformes, Estrildidae.
UCCAGGGGGGUUCCUGACCCCUGCCAGGGUCCCAGACUUGCCAGGGCAGCCAGAAGGAAGCCCUGGAUUCCCACACAAAAGUCCUUUGUGAGCAUCUAAAUUCCCACUCUGGGUUCCCUGCCACAAGACCUCCCUCACCUCACAAACCUCCAAGUGCCACUGGCCUUUGGAGAGGCUGUGGGGUGGCUUGGGGUGCUUGGAGCUCCUCUGCUGAAAUGCAGGGAUGAGGAGCUGGGUGCCAUGGUCCUACAAACUCUGUGUAUGCUGAGGCUUGGCUCUGCCCUACCUCCUGCAAAGGGACCCCACUAUGUGUUUGUUCAGUGUCUGCCGCCUCUGAAUGUUGGGAUACACUGCUGAAGUUGUUUGGAGGGAAGGCUGGAAAAGGUGACAGGCUGGAACUGAAAUAGCUGGGAUUGCUCUGGACCUCCACUGGAGAUAUUUGAGUAUCAAAGUACGGCAGGCACUGCACCCCCACCGCUGGCUCAGGGCUGCCUCCAGGUGUGUCUGAUUCCCCCUGGGACGGGCCCAUCACUUGUGCUGCAGGGACAGGCCUCACAAUAACGGAGCAGCACACUCUGCUAAGGCUCCGAGCGGCCUGAGGCUGCACGCAUGAGGACGGAUCCUCUACCUCUCCCUGUCCCUCAGACAGGGCUCUUCCCCCGCAUCCCUGCGUGUCACCCCACAGGAAUGACACAGCACAGCCAUGGAUUCUUGGGCCUGUUUCUCUGCCAAGCCAUCCCCCAGCCUUCCCCUUUGACCCUGGAGCCAAACCCUCCCUCACAGGAAUGUUGUUCAGGGAGGGGGGAGGUUGGUGCAGCUCCAGCUGCUGCAUUUUUCCAUGUCCAGAGGUGUCUCCUGCCUUAAAAGGCCCCAUGACACAGGCUAUGCCUGCUCUCCUGCAGUCACCUAUUUAAGGACUGUUUGGAUUCAGUCCCCAGCACGGACUGGGACGACACCAGCCCAGUGCCUUGCAGCUGGGCUGAGCCCCCUGGGGGGAUACUGGGGCAGACUGGGCUGCUUGCCCGGGGAGCCCUGCAGGGCCCGGACAUGGAGGAGUCUCCCAGGCUCUCCCUUUCCUGUGUGCAGGUCAGAUUUCCUGAGCUGAGAUGAGGAGGUACCAAGGCUGCUGGAGAAACCCUGCUCAGAGCCGGGCUGAGCAGUCCAGGAAAAUGGGAUUGGGUCUGAGAAGCCCACACCGGACUGGCAUCUGCCUGGGCAAGGCUUGGGAUUUGCUGAGCCUGUUGCAGAGGGAGAAGGCUGAGGAUCUGGCUGAGAAUGUGGGGCAGGAGAGAUGACAUGUGGAAAGGUACGUGUCUGCAGGGAUGUGACCUCUGGAACACAGCACGUGGGGGGGCUGUGAAACUGAGCUCCCUCGCUCCUGGCAUUCCCUGACGGUCAGCAUGGAUCUCCACAGCCCUCUGGAGCCUCCCCAGCACGCACUCCAAGCUCUGGAAAAAGGGACAAGCCAGCCCAGCCCAGGGCCUGGCCAGCUCCAGGGCAGUAGGGGAACUCCAUCAGGGUCAAGCUGUCACCUAAUAAAGAUGUUUUUGGUUAUAAUCUGCUUUUAAAAAAGAAAACCCCUAGGAAACUACAGCCAAAGGUGACAUCAGCAAUGUGCUCUGCCAGUUGCAGGGUGAUCCAGGGUGGGAUGAGUCCAAACUUCAGCAGCUCAGGUAAGCUCAGCUCAGCCUUCAGCUGUAUGUGGCACAUCUCUAGCACAAGAGAUGCAGGGAGGAAACCAGACCUGGGGAUAAAAUAAUAAAACUGCCCCUGGGACCUGAGCAUGGAUUGUCAUGGAAGCUGGAAGGUGGAAACUGAGGUUUGGGAACAAGGAAGGUCUUACAGUCCACACAGGUGUCUCCAAGACCUGGCACAGCAGGGUGGGGGCUCCAAAAUCUUGUUUAGCCCUAAAUGUGUAGCGUAGGGAUGGGAUGUGAACUGCUGACCCAGCUCUUCCACAGUUGGUGGAAAGGCAUCAAGAGCUGCAAGUGGCAAAACACGGAAAACCCAACUGCCCAGAGGGCAAAAGCAAUGUCCCCCCAAGGGAUGGAGCCCCACAGCAGCUCCCCAGCACCAACUCUGCCUGCCCCGAGCCUCCUACAGCAGCCACUUCCCUCCCCUUGCAGCUCUGGGACACAGAGGGAGAAGUGUGAAGGACCCAGAGUUUCUAACAAGGAAGUGUAGCUGCGGAAAAACUUGGUGUGCACAGGUCAAAAAGAGGUUGCAACUCCCUGUUUCAGCCUGGUGUGCUGUGAGAGGAUCCUGCUCUAUGCUCACCUUCCCAUUUGCCUAGUAAAGAAUAAAGAAGCUUUUGUUCAAACACA